RNAcentral lists this long non-coding RNA (270 nucleotides) under Malus domestica (apple). Its description in RNAcentral is "long non-coding RNA (MDOM_LNC019506)". The record is from RNAcentral. Lineage: Eukaryota; Viridiplantae; Streptophyta; Magnoliopsida; Rosales; Rosaceae.
AACACCCUCUCCAUAUUCAGAAAUUCGUCCAAAACCCUAUUUCCCACCUUGCCGCAGCCUUCCAUCCCCAAACUCCCAACUUUCUGCCCAAAUUCAACCUUGCCGCACCAUCCUCUUCCCCAAACCAUUCCUACAUCCUUCCAUAACCAUUCAUCCACCUUGUGCAGCCACUAAAGGCGGAGAAAGAAGGAAUGUCGUGCAGUCCAAAGGAAGGAGAAGCCUUGCACAUGCAAUCUGCCAUUAGUGGAGUGUUUGGAGUUCUUUCUUUCU